UAUCUGCUCGUGGCUUCCGACACGCUUUUCUCCGAAAACAAAACCAGAUCACGAAUGAACAUUUGUAGGCUAACAGCUGUUAGAUCCGUAGUCAAAUUGUUAUCAGUUACUCUCAACCCUACGCAUAUUAACCGCAUCAGGUGUUCGCCUUUGAUUUCUUUGCUCACAAGUCACACAUUCGUCCAAGUUAGAAGCAUGUCGGUAACCGGUAACCUGUUGUCCUGGAAAAUAACAGCAGACGAUAUAAAGACAUCUGCCGACGAACUCAUUGUAAAAACAAAAGCUGCGUACGAUACAGUUGGGCUGUUGAAACCGGAAGAAGUCAAUUAUAGGAACGUUGUUAAGGCACUUGCAGACAAUGAUUGCCAGUACUCAGUGAAGAGGAAUAACCUGGACUUUGUGCAACAUGUGUAUGCAGAUAAAGCACUCCGAGAUGUCAGCGUGGAGGCAGAUAAGAAACUGUCCGAAUUUGAAGUAGAAAUGAGCAUGAGACAGGAUGUUUUUGAUGCCAUUGUGGCAUUCCAGAAGAACAACAAAGCUGAUAUAUCUCCAGAAGCUAAGCGAUACGUAGAAAGGCUCAUCAAAUUGGGCAAGAGGAAUGGUCUCCAUCUUCCCAAGAAUGUUCAGAACCGCAUCAAAGAGCUGAAGAAGAGAAUGAGUGACCUGGGAAUCGACUUCAGCAAAAAUCUCAAUGAGGAGAACACCAUUUUGGAGUUCACAGAGGAGGAGCUAGUCGGGCUGCCUGGUGACUUCCUGAAAGCCUUAGAGAAGACUGAGAGUGGGCAGUACAAGGUGUCACUCAAGUACCCCCACUAUUUCCCAUGCAUGAAGAAAGCCAGGAACCCAGACACAAGGAGGAAGAUGGAAACAGCAUUUAAUUCCAGAUGUUUGAAGGAGAACACACCUAUCCUGGAGGAGCUCGUCAAGCUGAGACACGAGAAAGCCCAACUCCUUGGCUUCCCAACCCACUCUGCCUUCAUCCUUGACAUGCGUAUGGCCAAGACACCAGAGGCUGUCGACACAUUCCUUAAAGAUCUCACAGAAAAACUUCAGCUUCUCCGCAAAGAGGAGAUGGAGGACUUCCUUCGUUUCAAGAAAGAAGAGUGUGAGACAUAUGGCUAUGAAAAUGAUGGCAAGGUUAACUACUGGGAUUUCCGCUACUAUAUGACCAUGUCUGAGGAGAAGAAGUAUGCAGUGGACCACAACAGGCUGAAGGAGUACUUCCCCAUGGAGAAGGUCACCAAGGGCCUCCUGGAAAUAUACCAGGAACUACUAGGACUAAAGUUUUCACAAAUCAAAGAUGCCGAAGUCUGGUUUGAAGAUGUCACCAUGUACAGUGUGACGGACGCCAAGUCAGAGGAACUGCUGGGCUACUUCUACCUGGACCUCUACCCUCGCGAAGGCAAAUAUGGCCAUGCUGCUUGCUUUGGUCUGCAGCCUGGUUGUGUCCUGCCGGACGGAUCUCGCCAGAUAUCUAUAGCUGCCAUGGUGGCCAACUUCACCAAGUCCACCGCCGACCAGCCGUCUCUCCUGACUCAUGAUGAGGUUGAGACAUAUUUCCAUGAGUUUGGCCAUGUCAUGCAUCAGAUCUGUGCACGGGCAGACUUUGCUUUGUUCAGUGGCACCCAUGUGGAGCGCGACUUCGUGGAGGCGCCAUCCCAGAUGCUGGAGAACUGGUGCUGGGAGCGAGAACCUUUGUGUCGCAUGUCCGGCCACUACAAGGACGGCAAGGCCAUUCCAGAUGACCUGCUGGAGAAACUCACCAAGAGCAGGAUUGCCAAUGCUGGUGUCUUCAACCUCCGUCAAAUUCUCCUGGGGACGUUCGACCAGACCAUACACACGAAGCCUGAGGCCGACACAGCCAAGAUAUUCUUUGAGCUGUCUGAGAAGAUUCUGGGCAUCGUCCCGACUCCAGGAACCAACAUGCCGGCUGCCUUCGGUCAUCUGGCCGGAGGGUAUGAUGCUCAAUAUUAUGGCUAUCUGUGGAGUGAGGUGUUCUGCAUGGACUCCUAAAUGUGUUCACCUUGUGUCUGUAUAAGUGAGGGCGUGUUCCAUGGUUCAGUGGAGUGAGGUGUUCUGCAUGGACUCCUGUAUGUGUUCACCAUGUGUCUGUAUAAGUGAGGGUGUGUUCCAUGUUUCAGUGGAGUGAGGUGUUCUGCAUGGACAUGUUCUACUCACGGUUCCGGAAAGAGGGGAUCAUGAAUCCGGCUGUCGGCAACAGCUACAGAAACUGCAUCCUUGCACCAGGGGGAUCUGUGGAUGGGGCAGACAUGCUGAAGAACUUCCUGGG
RNAcentral lists this unclassified non-coding RNA (2290 nucleotides) under Haliotis rufescens (red abalone). RNAcentral's name for it is "thimet oligopeptidase-like, transcript variant X1". Lineage: Eukaryota; Metazoa; Mollusca; Gastropoda; Lepetellida; Haliotidae. The record is from RNAcentral.